RNAcentral lists this ribosomal RNA (424 nucleotides) under Fusobacteriota bacterium. RNAcentral describes it as "Fusobacteria bacterium partial 16S ribosomal RNA". It matches the Rfam family "Bacterial small subunit ribosomal RNA", at positions 355 to 776 of the family's 1533-position model. Lineage: Bacteria; Fusobacteriati; Fusobacteriota. The record is from RNAcentral.
UGAGGAAUAUUGGUCAAUGGGCGAGAGCCUGAACCAGCCAAGUAGCGUGCAGGAUGACGGCCCUAUGGGUUGUAAACUGCUUUUAUGUGGGGAUAAAGUGCGUGACGUGUCAUGCAUUGCAGGUACCACAUGAAUAAGGACCGGCUAAUUCCGUGCCAGCAGCCGCGGUAAUACGGAAGGUCCGGGCGUUAUCCGGAUUUAUUGGGUUUAAAGGGAGCGUAGGCUGUCUAUUAAGCGUGUUGUGAAAUUUACCGGCUCAACCGGUGGCUUGCAGCGCGAACUGGUCGACUUGAGUAUGCAGGAAGUAGGCGGAAUUCAUGGUGUAGCGGUGAAAUGCUUAGAUAUCAUGACGAACUCCGAUUGCGCAGGCAGCUUACUGUAGCAUAACUGACGAUGAUGCUCGAAAGUGCGGGUAUCAAACAGG